UGAUCCUGUCUGAGUGAUCCACAGACUUCAUU
Molecule: non-coding RNA, 32 nt
Filed under: Mus musculus (house mouse)
Lineage: Eukaryota; Metazoa; Chordata; Mammalia; Rodentia; Muridae
Source: RNAcentral